Molecule: ribosomal RNA, 253 nt
Filed under: uncultured bacterium
Lineage: Bacteria
Description: partial 16S ribosomal RNA
Rfam family: Bacterial small subunit ribosomal RNA
Source: RNAcentral
UACGAAGGUCCCAAGCGUUAUCCGGAUUUAUUGGGUUUAAAGGGUGCGUAGGCGGGUUAUUAAGUCAGUGGUGAAAGCUCCAUGCCUAACAUGGAAAUUGCCAUUGAUACUGAUGAUCUUGAGUACAUUUGAAGUGGGCGGAAUGUGUCAUGUAGUGGUGAAAUACUUAGAUAUGACACAGAACACCGAUUGCGUAGGCAGCUCACUAAACUGUAACUGACGCUGAGGCACGGAAGCGUGGGGAGCAAACAGG